GUUAUGUAACAAAAAGAAAUAGAGUAUCUGUCUAAUAGAGCUCAUGUGAAAAUAGAAGAGAAACAACGCUUAUAUGAUAAAUGUCGAUAAAAAUGUUGGUAUUAUCGAUAUUUAUCAUUUUUAGUUCUGCAGAGAUCCGCAGAUGUCGCAUUUAGUUCCACAGAAGGCCGCAGAUGUCGCAGGACCAUUAGAGUCUAGACCGACCUCGAUUGAGUUCGCCGGUCACUUUAGCAUCCCCUUAAUCAGAUGUUAGACGCGUAAGUGUAUAAACCACGCAUCUCACUCUGUAUAAUACUAUUUGUAUAAUAGUUUCACCAUUUAUAUACCAUGAAUUAAUGGUUUUGUGAAACUUAGUUGUUCUUGUUUUUUGAUUUUUAAUGAUUAUAGUUAAUUUUAAAUUAAUUGUAUAUAUGUAAAUAGACAACAGUUAAGCAUAUAAAUACAUAUAAACUUCUAAUAUAUAAAUAAAUAAUUAGCCAAACAAAUAAUUAUAUAAACCUACAUCUAUAUAUAAUACUUAGAUAACACUACUUGUAAAGUGGUAUCACAAUUUAUAGUCAAUCACGUGGGUAAUGAAAUUUUGUUUAUAUUUGAGAUAACGGUAUAUAGAUAGUUAUCAUAAAGGCGGUGAGAAGUAUACGUCUGUGUUAAUAUACAGUUUGUUAAGAAUAAGGUUAAGGCACAAAUAUUUAGAAGCGUUCGCGUUUGAACAUGUUGGUAAAGCUCUGAGUGAUUAUGAGGUAGUAAUAUAAUUCUCUUUGCAUUUCUUAAAAUAGUUUUGGAUGGAAAUCUCAGAUGUAUUGCUUUGGAUGUUUCUGACUAGUUUGUUAUAAACUAUUAUAUAUGGGACGUUAAUGAUUUGGUAUAUUCUUGCGUUCCAUGACUAGAGUGUGAUGAUAUGUAACGACUUUUAAUGAAAGGAGAGAAUUUUACAACGUUUGGAUGUUUAUCUGGAGACAGGGCGGAUGUCUUGAAUUCCAGUAUAAUAUCUGUAGAUGUAUAUAGGACCAUUAUACCAGUUAUAUUUACCAUGACAGGCCGCUACAAGGUCACAUUCCUUGGGUAAGAAAACAUCCAAUGUCUUUUUUUUUUUAAUAUAUGUUGGAAUGUACUAGUUGAGCAUUUAUUUUGCAAAUUUUGUAGAGAUUAUACUUGCAAGAUUUUUUUUUUUUUUGCAAAGUAUUAGAUAAUUAUUUGAUGAACUCGACAGUGUGCAAAUUUAUUGAGUAUCAUAAAUUUCGUUACUUUGUUAAAUUUAGCUGGAUCUUGUUCCAAGAGUGAAUGAGCUGUUCCUAUAUAAAGUUUCUAUAUAAAGUUUUUGAUUAUAAAUUACUCAUUGCGACUCGCUAAUUUCGUGAAUAGUUUUUGAAAGGCAGACUUAUGAGAUACGAGAAUGGUGUAUAAUGAUCCUGUUCAGAUCAAGAGAAAGUAGUAAGGAAUGUGGUCGUAGUCACACCUUAUUGUGUUCUCUUUUUUUUUUCAUAAGUAACCAAAGUAAAUUAUAGUUAUAGAUUCUUUCUAAUUUGUAAUUAUAUAUGUAUCUUUAUGAUUAUUAUUUUUUUUUUUUAUAGCCAAGAUAAGGUAGUCGAGAAUACUCACUGGCUUCAGGAUUGUCAAGGACCCAAUAUUGUAGCCCUUAGUGGGGUUCCUUUUCCUCUGGUGGAGGAUUCUCGUUUUCCUUGUUUUUUGUGUUGAUAAGGAUGUGUAAGAGACUUCCGGUUUGUCGAGCGCUCAACAGUAUAACCUUUAAUAAAGUUCUUCCUUCUCUUCUGGAAGUGGAUCCUCGUUUCUUUUUGCGGAACUGAAUAUGUAAUUAGUUUUGUUUAUCCCCCGCAUAAUAUUCACAAACUCGGUGCGAUAAUUACAAAUGGCGGCUCAGGCUGCCUCGUGCCGCAUGGCGUGAUAUAGGUGGCCUCACCUUCCGCCAUUAACUAUUUCAGAUUUUCAUUUAUCUCUCUCUAGUAUUCCUCUGCGAGGAGAUAAUGUAUAUAUAAAUGCAACUUCUUAUGCCUCUGAGCCGAGACAAUGUAGGUGAUGAUGGAAUUGUUUAGCUCAGCUCAAGAGGACGAAGUAAUUUGUUCACUGAUAUAUGUAAAUUCACAAAAGAGGGCGAACGACCGUUCGCUUCAACGGUGCCGCACGGAAUCCCAAGCCAAUGAUAAUCACAAAUUUAACUUAGAUCUAGUUUACACCAAACACUUGACACCAUAGAUAUAUAGAUUGCUGAUUGCGUCGAAUUUGUGACCCUAAUUGAAUAUCGCCAUAUUAGAAAGACUUUGCAUACGCAUGUGCAUUUACUCGUAGAAUUGUUUCUUUUUUAUGACAGUUUGAAAAUCAAACUGUCAAAACCAGCGUCGUGAAAUUUAUAUUAAUUGGGUUAUAUAACACAUCAUCCGUAGAAUUAGUUAAUCUCUAGGUUAGCUUAUGGGCGGGUUUUUUAAUUCAUCGAUUGAUUAAUUGUAUUAUGCGCAAAUACAACUUUGUUUUAUAAAAGCCGCAUUGACACAUAAUGCGAUUGAUCAAUCGAUGAAUUAAAAAAUUCGUCCUAUUUAUAAGAGUUCAAUUAAGUUGACGACACGUGCCCGAAGUGAGACAAAAUUAAAAGAUUGUUUACAAAAGUAUUUACAGCUGUUUAUGCAAUAAGUUUUGCUUCUGUAAUUUAAAAUGAGACGGUGCUGCUUUUGUAAUAAUACAAAAAGGCAUGAAUUUACAUCAUCAUAUCACAAGUAAGUAUUGCAUUAUUGUAUUACUUUUAUUUAUAUAUACUUUCUUUUUAAGUUGUUUUCCUUUAGAUUGAUGGAUUAUUGUGUCUUCAUCUCACUUUUGAGAAAUUCCGAUACAGUUUUAUAUAUUAUAUCUAUAUAAAAGUUAUCUUUGUCUUAUCUAUAACAAUCAAUUUAAAUAGCUCAAAAUCUCAAUAUUAUAUCCUUAAACAUAUUGUAGGUUUCCUCUCAACAAUCAGCAACUUCUAAAAUAAUAGCUAAAUAAUUAUCCUGUUAAAAAUUGGAUACUAACCAACUCGACCACUUUAUGCUCUGAUCAUUUCACAAAAGAUUGCUUUCAGGAUGUGUAGUACGAUUGAAACUAAACAGUAUUCCAACGCGUUUUGAUAACCCUUAUCAUUAUUUUAUAUAUUGCAAACGGAAGCAAAUACAUAAAUCAGAAUAUUCUUUUUUCAAGUAAAAUUAUAACAAUUUUUUGUAAUUGUAAAUAUAAAUGAAUGUUUACAAAUUGAAAUAAGAACUUCUCUAGCAUCAAGAUGCAAGGGCAAGAUGCAAAGCAUUGCUAAUUAUUAAAUUAUUUCUAAUUUAAAAAAUAUGUUAUUACUUGUUCAUGUUCAAUUUAUAACUGCGUUCUGACCGGAAAAAUAAUUCGACGCGUAGUUAAAUUUGAAAAAAAGUAUAUAAACAUCACACAAUUAAAAUUUAUAAAAAAUACUAAGAUCCAGUUUGACCGUACAAGGCGUUCUUAUCUCAAUUUGUAAAUAUUACAUUAAUGAAAUUCUCCGAAUAUCUCCAAUCGAAUAUCUCCAAUUAUAAAUGAAUAUAUUUAUUUAUUUUUGUUCAUAUUCUAAACUUUGAUUUCCAUUAGACAAAUCAGAUAUUUUAAAGAAAUGGCUUGAUAAUAUGGGAAUCAAGAAUUGGAUUCCAAACAACAACAAUUAUUUAUGUUCAGAAUAUUUUGAGCAAAAAUGUUUUCGCAAGAUACGAGGAAAAUAUUGAUUAAAAGAUAAUAGCGUUCCAACAAUAUUUAAGAUUGAAUGUUUUAACAAUAUAAAAUCAGUUGUAUCAACAUCACCAGAAAAUGUUCUUCCGUGUGAAAGAGAAUUGAAUCAGAAGAUACAAUUCAACAACAAUGUUAUGUUUGACCCUCCACAACAAGCAUCUUGUAAUGAAUUAAGAGACCUGAUUGAAACACCCUCAUCAGAUAAUUUUCAUUAGUAUUGUUACAAAUUGAAGAGUUCACAAAUUUAUUUUUUUCAGAUCAAACUAUUAGUAAGACUUCUCUGAAAAAAAAUAUACCUAUUUCUGAGGAAUCUUUUAUUGUCACAAAUGGUAAGUAAUAAUGAAUAAGAUAAAAAUUAUUAUUAAAAAAUUUUUUCCAUGCAUGCGCGAAAGUUUUUUUUCAUCUUUUAGAUGAAAAUGUUAAUGGAUUAUCGACAUCUAAUAAUUACAUUGAAAUUAUAAAUCAUACUCUUUUAAGAUAAAUAUCCUCUUUUCAGUAUGUUUUUGUCAGUAAUAAUUUUCAAAAUAUAAUAAUGGCAAGUUUCCAACAAUCUAUUGGCAAUAGACUUUAAACUCAGUUUACAGCAACUUGCUGGCAACUGGCGCGCAACACGUCAGGAAUCCUUAAAAUCUAAACAAUGGGUAGAAAACAAGUAUUGCUGUUAGGUUGCCCUCAGAUUGCAGACAAUGCAAGAAACUUGUCGGCAAUCUGAUGACAACGAUUUUCAGCAAUUUGUGAACAACUGACGUGCAACAUAUUGUGUUUUUAAAUUGUCAACAUGUUAUAAACAACAGGUAAAAAGAUUUUUAAUCCUUUUCAUAUCCCUUCUAUAAAUACCAUAUAGAUCUUGUUACAAAAUCUGUGUCAUCAAGACUUAUGUUCAACAGAUAGAGCAGAUCGAUGAGCGCUUAGUGAGUUAAGAGCAAAACUAUGUUCCAAAACUCAUCAAAAAAAAGUGUUGCAAUCUUUUAGCUCAUGACUGUAUAUACGCACACCGACGGAAUCGGUAUCCCUCCGCGCGCGACACGCGGCUUCUACACAUAUACGCGAAGCGCCCACAUACAUACGUACUAGUCUUCCCCUUCCAUGCUACUAGUGUGGCUGCUAAAAGUCGAAAAUGCAUUGCUGACACUGGGCCAUUUUGAAUUUUCACUGGGUUUUAUGAAACACACAACGACAAAUGAUGUACUUUCAUAAUAGGAGUAAAAAAGUAGGUUAGGCGAUGCAUGCGCAAGUAUGCUUCGCUUUAGUUGGUCGCUUAGGUACUGGCGUUUACGUGCACUUCUCUCAUUCAAUAAUAAUGUACAGUCGUGAGCUAAAAGGUUGCAACACAUUUUCUUCGAUGGUUUUUGGAAUGUAGAUUUGCUCAUCAAACGACGAACGUAAUUAGUUCUUACCUGUGAAUCCAACCAAUUACGUUUACCAAUUGAUGACAUCGAAGAAAAUGUGUUGCAACUUUUUAGCUCACGACUGUACAUCAUUGUUAAUUAAAUGCUGAAAACUUUUCAGCAAUUAUUAUUAUAGUAGAGUUCCUAUUCGGUUGCCGACGUGUUGCUCACAACUUAUGAAUAAAAGUAAUACUCGCAUGUUUCUUAACUUUAUAUUACCAUUCGGUUGCCGACACGUUGCUCACAACUCAUGAAUGAUAAUCGUUGUUCACAUAUUGCUAUCAGAUUGCUAUAAACAUUGGUUGCAACAAUUGUUCUACCGUUGUUUGACAAUAAAACUCAGCAUAUUAAUACUGAAUUAACAAAAACAUUUUUGUUUCAUUAAAUUAUAAGCAACAUAAUAGCAAAUGACGAGCAACUUAAUUUCUGCAAUUAUUUGAUUUAGAUUGAGUAUUCACGUUUGGCUCUCUGGGUAGUAAUGGAGAAUGUCAACCGUUACAUGAAAAAACAAUUAUAAAUUCCCAAUCAGUACAUCAUAAUCAUCAUUAUUAUGUUUCUCCAUCAACACAACAUAAGAAACUUAUAAAAAGUAAAGAAAUAUUUAAAAAAAAGGAACGAAUAAUUAAAAUUAAAAAUCGACAGCUUCGACGUCUUCGAACUAAAAUUAAAAGUUUAAAAGAAGUUAUAACAGAUUUACGAGAAUAUGGUCUCGGAAAAUUGUUUGAGCUGUCUCGAUACAAUAUCGGAUCAGGGAGUUAAAGAAUUUGUAGAACAUGCUAUAAAAAAAUGGUAAGAAAUUGAGCAAACGAAAAUACCUACCAGCUUUGCGUAGUUUUGCACUAACUCUACAUUUUUAUUCACCUCGUGCAUAUAAUUAUAUACGUGAAAAGAUGAACAUGGCUUUGCCUAUACAAAGUGUAUUGAGAUCGUGGUACAAUUCCAUCGAUGGAGAACCAGGGUUUACUUCGGAAAGCUUUAUAUCAUUAAAAUAUAAAGUGGAAAAGGCAAAUUUAGAAAA
Long non-coding RNA from Solenopsis invicta (red fire ant), 6132 nucleotides. RefSeq lists it as uncharacterized. The transcript is spliced from 2 exons. The record is from RefSeq and is a predicted model, not a curated record. NCBI's taxonomy places the organism in Eukaryota, Metazoa, Arthropoda, Insecta, Hymenoptera, Formicidae.